GAUCAUGGCUCAGGAUGAACGCUAGCUACAGGCUUAACACAUGCAAGUCGAGGGGCAGCAUGAGGUCAGCUUGCUGACUUUGAUGGCGACCGGCGCACGGGUGCGUAACGCGUAUCGAACCUGCCUCAUACUCGGGGAACAGCCUUGCGAAAGUAAGAUUAAUGCCCGAUGUUCUGGUUUCCCCCGCAUGAGGAGUCCAGCAAAGAAAUUCGGUAUGAGAUGGCGAUGCGUCCCAUUAGCUAGUUGGCAGGGUAACGGCCCACCAAGGCAUCGAUGGGUAGGGGUUCUGAGAGGAAGGUCCCCCACAUUGGAACUGAGACACGGUCCAAACUCCUACGGGAGGCAGCAGUGAGGAAUAUUGGUCAAUGGACGGAAGUCUGAACCAGCCAAGUAGCGGGCAGGAUGACGGCCCUCCGGGUUGUAAACUGCUUUUAGUUGGGAAUAAAGUGCGGGACGUGUCCCGUUUUGUAUGUACCAUCAGAAAAAGGACCGGCUAAUUCCGUG
RNAcentral lists this ribosomal RNA (504 nucleotides) under uncultured bacterium. RNAcentral describes it as "bacterial SSU rRNA". It matches the Rfam family "Bacterial small subunit ribosomal RNA", at positions 15 to 507 of the family's 1533-position model. The record is from RNAcentral.